GACGAACGCUGGCGGCGUGCUUAACACAUGCAAGUCGAACGGAAAGGCCCUGCUUUUGUGGGGUGCUCGAGUGGCGAACGGGUGAGUAACACGUGAGUAACCUGCCCUUGACUUUGGGAUAACUUCAGGAAACUGGGGCUAAUACCGGAUAGGAGCUCCUGCUGCAUGGUGGGGGUUGGAAAGUUUCGGCGGUUGGGGAUGGACUCGCGGCUUAUCAGCUUGUUGGUGGGGUAGUGGCUUACCAAGGCUUUGCCGGGUAGCCGGCCUGAGAGGGUGACCGGCGACAUGGGGCCUGAGAUACGGCCCAGACUCCGACGGGAGGCAGCAGUGGGGAAUAUUGCACAAUGGGCGGAAGCCUGAUGCAGCAACGCCGCGUGCGGGAUGACGGCCUUCGGGUUGUAAACCGCUUUCGCCUGUGACGAAGCGUGAGUGACGGUAAUGGGUAAAGAAGCACCGGCUAACUACGUG
This 468-nucleotide ribosomal RNA is filed under the name uncultured bacterium. RNAcentral describes it as "partial 16S ribosomal RNA". It matches the Rfam family "Bacterial small subunit ribosomal RNA", at positions 28 to 507 of the family's 1533-position model. The record is from RNAcentral.